RNAcentral lists this transfer RNA (55 nucleotides) under Mecistocirrus digitatus. Its description in RNAcentral is "tRNA-Leu". The record is from RNAcentral. Lineage: Eukaryota; Metazoa; Nematoda; Chromadorea; Rhabditida; Trichostrongylidae.
GCAUUAAUAGUAUAAGUAAUACGUUGAAUUUAGAUUUCAAAAAAAAAUAAUGUUA